CAGCUUCCUGUGACCCGGAUUGCCUCUGACUCUGCUGAUCUUCUCCUGGACCGAACCUCGGCUUGUAUUACGGACUCCGCUUGUCUCCUGUGUUUGAUCCUCGGCCUCUGACCUGGACUUUGCCUCUUAUCUCCUUGCCUUGACCUUUUGCCACAACCUUAUGAAGACUCUAGAUGAAGAUUAUUCCAACCUACUACCCUUGAGAAGCCAACAUUUUAUCAAUACAGCUUUUCUUUAAUGUGCACUUUGUGAUACAUAAAAGUAUAUUUUAAUAAACCAAGAGCCUGUGUUCUGGUGUUUUGCAA
Molecule: long non-coding RNA, 305 nt
Organism: Rana temporaria (common frog)
Lineage: Eukaryota; Metazoa; Chordata; Amphibia; Anura; Ranidae
Exons: 2
Source: RefSeq, a predicted model, not a curated record